GGAUAUAGUAUAGUGGUAAUACUGCCGUCCUUCACAUGGGAGACCGGGGUUCGAACCCUGGAUGCG
Molecule: transfer RNA, 66 nt
Filed under: Danionella cerebrum
Lineage: Eukaryota; Metazoa; Chordata; Actinopteri; Cypriniformes; Danionidae
Description: tRNA-Glu
Source: RNAcentral